AUGUCUUCCUCCGGUUCCUCCCACCCAAACCUUAACCAGCAGGUCACGGAGAAACUCACCCGCACCAAUUACGUCUUGUGGCGCACCCAGAUCGUGCCGCAGCUGCGAGGUGCUGAUGUCUUCGGUUAUGCCGAUGGCACCACAUCGGAGCCGCCCCGCAUCCUCGUCACCAAGGACAAGGAAGGGAAGGAAUCAUCGGCGCCCAACCCUCUCCACCCCAUCUGGGUCCGAGAGGACCAGCAGGUACUCGGCUACCUGCUGAAUAAUUUGUCCGAAGAAGUGCUUGUGCAGGUGACCGCGAUC
This 303-nucleotide ribosomal RNA is filed under the name Triticum aestivum (bread wheat). RNAcentral's name for it is "partial small subunit ribosomal RNA". The record is from RNAcentral. Lineage: Eukaryota; Viridiplantae; Streptophyta; Magnoliopsida; Poales; Poaceae.